This 483-nucleotide ribosomal RNA is filed under the name uncultured bacterium. Its description in RNAcentral is "partial 16S ribosomal RNA". It matches the Rfam family "Bacterial small subunit ribosomal RNA", at positions 28 to 507 of the family's 1533-position model. The record is from RNAcentral.
GACGAACGCUGGCGGCGUGCUUAACACAUGCAAGUCGAACGAUGAAGCGGUUGCUUGCUCUCGUUGAUGAGUGGCGAACGGGCGAGUAACAGGUGAGUAACCUGUCCUAUUUUUUGGGAUAACGGCUGGAAACGGCUGCUAAUACUGGAUAUUCAGCCUCCCUCGCUUGGGGCGGUUUGGAAAGGUUUUUUCUGGGAAUGGGUGGGCUCGCGGCCUAUCAGCUUGUUGGUGGGGUGAUGGCUCACCAAGGCGUUGACGGGUAGGCGGCCUGAGAGGGUGGUCGGUCACACUGGGACUGAGAUACGGCCCAGACUCCUACGGGAGGCAGCAGUGGGGAAUAUUGCACAAUGGACGAAAGUUUGAUGCAGCGACGCCGCGUGGAGGGUGUAGGCCUUCGGGUUGUGAACUCCUUUAUCUAGCGAAAAAGGCACAGAUUUGGCUGUGUUGAUGGUAGUGGGAGAAGAAGCGCCGGCUAACUACGUG